This 575-nucleotide long non-coding RNA is filed under the name Panax ginseng (ginseng). Its description in RNAcentral is "long non-coding RNA (PGIN_LNC002032)". The record is from RNAcentral. Lineage: Eukaryota; Viridiplantae; Streptophyta; Magnoliopsida; Apiales; Araliaceae.
UCAUCAUCCCGAAGAGGGGUUGUUGUUGGCUCGGGGGCAGGGGGUUCAGUUCGGGAAGGCUCCUCGUUAGGGAGUUCUUCAUUUGCAUCAGUAAUCCUCCCCGCCAAGAAAUCUUCCAAGUCUUUUACUUCCGAGGAAGUUGGUUUGAUCAAAGACACUGCAAAUAAUCACAAGUUAAAAUCCGUACCACAUAAACAUUUCAAAAAAUUAUAUCACAGAAUGGUCCGAGACUUACGUUUAUGGUCAUACAACCAUGCUUGCUUGGUCAAUAGAGUGAAGCUCCACUCUUGAGAAGGGAUCUUAUUCAUGAAGUCACCCAUCUCCCUCACGCGCCCCUCGGGGAUGUCACCGAAGUCAGCAGAGAUACGCUCCGAAGUGGUCCAAUCGGGAAGGGAGGAGAUUCCAGGACCAGUGACGAAGAACCAUUUCUCGUGCCAUCCUUUGUUGCUCGAGGGGGUGCUCAUCAGGGGCCUCUUCUCGAAUUUCGAGUUUGGGCGUGGGGACUGUUUGCUCAGCAUUUUGAACCCUCGUUCUCGGGAUCUGCCAGCCGAGAAGAGGGUGAAGAAGAGAUCAAC